AAUGGACGCAAGUCUGACGCAGCAACGCCGCGUGGGUGAUGAAGCUCCUUGGAGUGUAAAACCCUGUCAGUGGGGAAGAAACGUACGGGUAGUAACUGCCCCGUGCCUGACGGUACCCACAGAGGAAGUCCCGGCUAACUCCGUGCCAGCAGCCGCGGUAAUACGGGGGGGACUAGCGUUGUUCGGAUUUACUGGGCGUAAAGGGCGCGUAGGCGGACCUUCAAGUCGGAUGUGAAAUCUGUCGGCUUAACUGACAGUCUGCACCCGAUACUGUUGGCCUUGAGUACGGGAGAGGAGAGCGGAAUUCCUGGUGUAGCGGUGAAAUGCGUAGAUAUCAGGAAGAACACCGGUUGCGAAGGCGGCUCUCUGGACCGAUACUGACGCUUAAGCGCGAAGGCUUGGGGAGCAAA
RNAcentral lists this ribosomal RNA (410 nucleotides) under uncultured bacterium. Its description in RNAcentral is "bacterial SSU rRNA". It matches the Rfam family "Bacterial small subunit ribosomal RNA", at positions 370 to 772 of the family's 1533-position model. The record is from RNAcentral.